AGAGUUUGAUCCUGGCUCAAGAUGAACGCUAGCGGCAGGCCUAACACAUGCAAGUCGAGGGGUAGAAGGAGCUUGCUCCUUUGAGACCGGCGCACGGGUGCGUAACGCGUAUGCAAUCUACCUUGUACAGGGGAAUAGCCCAAAGAAAUUUGGAUUAAUGCCCCAUAGUAUAUAACCUUCGCAUGUUGGUUAUAUUAAAGUUCCAACGGUACAAGAUGAGCAUGCGUCCCAUUAGUUAGUUGGUAAGGUAACGGCUUACCAAGACGAUGAUGGGUAGGGGUCCUGAGAGGGAGAUCCCCCACACUGGUACUGAGACACGGACCACACUCCUACGGGAGGCAGCAGUGAGGAAUAUUGGUCAAUGGUCGCAAGACUGAACCAGCCAUGCCGCGUGCAGGAAGACGGUCCUAUGGAUUGUAAACUGCUUUUAUACAGGAAGAAACCCUCCCACGUGUGGGAGCUUGACGGUACUGUAAGAAUAAGGAUCGGCUAACUCCGUGCCAGCAGCCGCGGUAAUACGGAGGAUCCAAGCGUUAUCCGGAAUCAUUGGGUUUAAAGGGUCCGUAGGCGGUCUUAUAAGUCAGUGGUGAAAGCCCAUCGCUCAACGAUGGAACUGCCAUUGAUACUGUAAGACUUGAAUGCUUAGAAGUAACUAGAAUAUGUAGUGUAGCGGUGAAUGCUUAGAUAUUACAUGGAAAUACCCAUUUGCGAAGGCAGGUUACUACUAAGUGAUUGACGCUGAUGGACGAAGCGGUGGGGAGCGAACAGGAUUACAUACCCCUAGUCAGUCCACGCAGUAAACGAUGGAUACUAGCUUGUCGCGCAGUUGAGUGACUAAGCGAAGUGAUCAGUCAUCCCCACCUGAGAGUACGCACGCUAGUGUGCAACUCGAAGUAUUGACGGCGCCCACUAGCGUUGAAGCAUGUGUUAUCGAUGCAUCGCGAGCA
RNAcentral lists this ribosomal RNA (947 nucleotides) under uncultured bacterium. RNAcentral's name for it is "bacterial SSU rRNA". It matches the Rfam family "Bacterial small subunit ribosomal RNA", at positions 8 to 967 of the family's 1533-position model. The record is from RNAcentral.